CGAUCUGAGUAUGACCAAGGACAAGGAAUCAGAACCGGCGACUGACAGUCCAGAGAAAGAGAAUGCGGAAAACCUUCUAGUCCAUAGCUCCUGAAGAAAAACGAGCUGAAGCGAAUAUGGAGAAACAGCUUCCUCCACGGAAAAUGCAGAGGCAUGCAACGCGGCGGAUGCAAGUUUGCUAAUUGAAAUUAUUCGCAAAGAUCUAGUAGAAUUAAAACUGGAGGUGCUGCGAAACGAUCCUUUUUCGACGCUAUACUCGGUUAAAACUAUCGACGCUUUGCACCUGAUGCCGGAACUGCCCACCCCGAGAGCAGAUGAGCGCUGGGGAAUGUUUUCAGCCACCUGGAAGAGGAAGUUCAGCGCGGAAGAAAUGUUACCAGACUUCGCCGAUCUGGUAUCUGGACUUCUUUGAUGAUCUCAUAGAGAUUGGGUGUGCAGAUGGGCGGUUAGAGUUCUGGGAGGGAACGACUGGUAACUUUAAGGGUAUAUAUGAAGCCGAAAACAUGGGGUAACUAACAUAAAGCUAGCCGGUGACAAAGUGUUAGUCGCACGGUUGAGUGGACGAAUCGAUUCUCUGAGACUAGAAACGUACACGCAAAGUUGUCAGAUCGAUUUUGGUUUACGUCUGCAUAUGGGCGAACCCACGUACGCACCGAUUCGGCAGGAAGCAUUAGUUUAUUUCGGCAAACCGUCCACAGCAUUGCCAGCUCAACAUAACGCAUCCGAGGAGGAGCUUCGAUGUAUUCUGGAGUUUCACCAGCAGGGUUACCGGUGACAUAUUUGGAAGUGGCGGGCGGUACAGUCAUGACUGGCAGCCAGGGUCACACUGUUAAAGUGUUCCGACUCGAUAGGCACCUAUUGCAGUUCACCCUAAACGGCCAUUGCGGUCCUAUCACAUGUAUUUUCAUAGACCAGUGGUAGGCCGAGAUGGGCGCAUCUGGUCGCCAGGAUGGUGUGUGUGGGGCUUGAACUAGAACAGCUCCUACAUGGUUACGAGAGUGUUCAGCAGGCCGUUGGUAAGGGAGUGGAUAAUUUUUAUAGUGUCGAUUGUUGAUAACAGGGCCAUUUAAUGGCUCCGCAAUUAAAUAUAGAAAGUUACUAAAUACAUUUUG
Long non-coding RNA from Topomyia yanbarensis, 1112 nucleotides. RefSeq lists it as uncharacterized. The transcript is spliced from 4 exons. NCBI's taxonomy places the organism in Eukaryota, Metazoa, Arthropoda, Insecta, Diptera, Culicidae. The record is from RefSeq and is a predicted model, not a curated record.